RNAcentral lists this ribosomal RNA (497 nucleotides) under uncultured bacterium. RNAcentral's name for it is "partial 16S ribosomal RNA". It matches the Rfam family "Bacterial small subunit ribosomal RNA", at positions 28 to 507 of the family's 1533-position model. The record is from RNAcentral.
GACGAACGCUGGCGGCGUGCCUAAUACAUGCAAGUAGAACGCUGAAGCUUGGUGCUUGCACCGAGCGGAUGAGUUGCGAACGGGUGAGUAACGCGUAGGUAACCUGCCUGGUAGCGGGGGAUAACUAUUGGAAACGAUAGCUAAUACCGCAUAAGAGUAGAUGUUGCAUGACAUUUGCUUAAAAGGUGCAAUUGCAUCACUACCAGAUGGACCUGCGUUGUAUUAGCUAGUUGGUGAGGUAACGGCUCACCAAGGCAACGUUACAUAGCCGACCUGAGAGGGUGAUCGGCCACACUGGGACUGAGACACGGCCCAGACUCCUACGGGAGGCAGCAGUAGGGAAUCUUCGGCAAUGGACGGAAGUCUGACCGAGCAACGCCGCGUGAGUGAAGAAGGUUUUCGGAUCGUAAAGCUCUGUUGUAAGAGAAGAACGAGUGUGAGAGUGGAAAGUUCACACUGUGACGGUAUCUUACCAGAAAGGGACGGCUAACUACGUG